RNAcentral lists this ribosomal RNA (207 nucleotides) under uncultured bacterium. RNAcentral's name for it is "partial 16S ribosomal RNA". It matches the Rfam family "Bacterial small subunit ribosomal RNA", at positions 568 to 774 of the family's 1533-position model. The record is from RNAcentral.
UGUGUAGGCGGUUCUUUAAGUUUGGUGUGAAAUCUCCCGGCUUAACCGGGAGGGUGCGCCGAAUACUGAGGGACUAGAGUACGGGAGAGGAAAGUGGAAUUCCUGGUGUAGCGGUGAAAUGCGUAGAUAUCAGGAGGAACACCGGUGGUGUAGACGGCUUUCUGGACCGUAACUGACGCUGAAACACGAAAGCGUGGGUAGCAAACA